RNAcentral lists this ribosomal RNA (465 nucleotides) under uncultured bacterium. RNAcentral's name for it is "partial 16S ribosomal RNA". It matches the Rfam family "Bacterial small subunit ribosomal RNA", at positions 28 to 507 of the family's 1533-position model. The record is from RNAcentral.
GACGAACGCUGGCGGCGUGCUUAACACAUGCAAGUCGAACGGAAAGGCCCUGCUUGCAGGGUACUCGAGUGGCGAACGGGUGAGUAACACGUGGGUGAUCUGCCCUGCGCUUCGGGAAAAGCCUGGGAAACUGGGUCUAAUACCGGAUAGGAGCCAUUUUUAGUGUGAUGGUUGGAAAGUUUUUUCGGUGUAGGAUGGGCUCGCGGCCUAUCAGCUUGUUGGUGGGGUAAUGGCCUACCAAGGCGGCGACGGGUAGCCGGCCUGAGAGGGUGGACGGCCACAUUGGGACUGAGAUACGGCCCAGACUCCUACGGGAGGCAGCAGUGGGGAAUAUUGCACAAUGGGCGCAAGCCUGAUGCAGCGACGCCGCGUGGGGGAUGACGGCCUUCGGGUUGUAAACUCCUUUCGCUAGGGACGAAGCUUUUUGUGACGGUACCUAGAUAAGAAGCACCGGCUAACUACGUG